Molecule: ribosomal RNA, 465 nt
Filed under: Vreelandella stevensii
Lineage: Bacteria; Pseudomonadati; Pseudomonadota; Gammaproteobacteria; Oceanospirillales; Halomonadaceae
Description: partial 16S ribosomal RNA
Rfam family: Bacterial small subunit ribosomal RNA
Source: RNAcentral
CCUACGGGGGGCUGCAGUGGGGAAUAUUGGACAAUGGGGGGAACCCUGAUCCAGCCAUGCCGCGUGUGUGAAGAAGGCCCUCGGGUUGUAAAGCACUUUCAGUGAGGAAGAACGCCUGGUGGUUAAUACCCAUCAGGAAAGACAUCACUCACAGAAGAAGCACCGGCUAACUCCGUGCCAGCAGCCGCGGUAAUACGGUGGGUGCGAGCGUUAAUCGGAAUUACUGGGCGUAAAGCGCGCGUAGGUGGCUUGAUAAGCCGGUUGUGAAAGCCCCGGGCUCAACCUGGGAACGGCAUCCGGAACUGUCAAGCUAGAGUGCAGGAGAGGAAGGUAGAAUUCCCGGUGUAGCGGUGAAAUGCGUAGAGAUCGGGAGGAAUACCAGUGGCGAAGGCGGCCUUCUGGACUGACACUGACACUGAGGUGCGAAAGCGUGGGUAGCAAACAGGAUUAGAUACCCGUGUAGUC